This 4488-nucleotide long non-coding RNA is filed under the name Manihot esculenta (cassava). RNAcentral's name for it is "long non-coding RNA (MESC_LNC002626)". The record is from RNAcentral. Lineage: Eukaryota; Viridiplantae; Streptophyta; Magnoliopsida; Malpighiales; Euphorbiaceae.
UCAAAAAAAAAAAUCAUUGAGUUAUAUAUUUAUAUUAAAUAUAUAUAUAAUUAAAAAUAUAUAAAAUUUCCAAAACUUGGACAAUGCUUAAACAGUCCGUCUCCACAAUUACUGAGUUCAAACCAGCAGUUUUGAUCCAACUUAGGGUCUCCAAGACGCCCAUAGCCUCACAAUACAAGGCUCAAAAGCUGUAAAUAAAGGGACUGCCACCGCUUGCAUAAAAUUACCAACACUAUCACGGCAAACAAAAGCAUAACCAGCUUGUCCAUUUCUCAAAUCAACAUUGCAUUUAAAGAGCCCCCAUUUCCAGGAGGUCUCCACGGUGUUUCAGCAAUUAAAGAAGAAGAUGGGGCACUUACAUGCUUACUCUGUGCCUCUCUCCAUUCACUCAGCUUCUGCAAUGCCAACCGAACAACCUCAACCUCAGUUCUUGCUUUUCCUUUCUAAACUGUUCAGUUUCGAUUCAGUCAUAACUCGUAAAGAACCGAACCAAUUUUAGCCAUCUCCAUCAUAAGUUGCUGCUGUAAUAAAUGAGAAACCCAUUCCCAUAACGAAAUCUGAGUUUGUACCUGCAGAUUAUUAAGCACCAACCAGACUCCUCUAGUAAAACCAGACAGCAACAACACAUGUUCGAUUGACUCUGGUUCUUGCUCACAAACUGGACAAAACACUUGAACUGCCACCUGUUUCUGAACUAAAAUUGAACAAGUUGGAAGUACAUUAUGCAGCACCCGCCAUAAGAAAUUCUUAAUUUUUGGUAGGACCGAAAUUCGCCAAAUUGCAUUCCAAACCUGCUGAAUAUUUUGGGCAGCUCCACUUACUGGUUUUGUUAACAAUCUAUAGCCACUCUUGACUGAAUAGCCACCAUUCUUUGUAAACUUCCAAAACCACCCAUCUUCUUGGAAAGAUCAUGCCACAUUUGGGAUUUGCAGAACAGCUUUUUUGUCUCUAGGAUUAAAAAUAUCAUUAAUAAGCUCCACAUUCCAUUCCCCUUCAGGGAGAAAAGAAUCAGCAACACAAAUAUUCUCAACACCCGUGUUAUUUUCAGACUGAACAAACGGGGAAUCCUCAUUCAAAAGCCAUGGAUCCUUCCACACAUCAGUUUGUGAGCCUGAAAAAUAUCUUCCUCCUACAACCACGUCGCAAAACAUCCAUUGUCUGCAUAACACUACUCUAGAAGAAACUCAGAUUUGCUGCUUCAAAAAACCGACAUUGAGGAAAAUAUUUCGCCUUUAAAAGGUGUGAAAUCAAAGUAUGGGGUUGAAUUAAAAUCUGCCAUCCUUGCUUAGCAACCAAGGUCAUAUUAAACUCCCUAAACUUCCUAAAAUCCAAUCCCCCAUCUUCCUUCGGCAAGUAUAAACGGUUCCAACGCAUCCACCUUAUACCACUUGAACCGCCGGUCCAUCAAAAUUAAUUUAACUUUGUUUCAGUGGACCUACAGACUCCCACAUGAAGCAAAAAUACACUCAUAACGUACGUAGGAAUAGACUGUGCAACUGUCCGAAUUAACAACUCUUUACCAGCUCUUCCCCUGCAAUAAGAUCUUAUACUCAACCGAAUUCACAGUAUAUAAUAAUAUGUGAAUCAAUUCUGCAUUAAAACCCAAUGUAAAUAACAUAUCAAACAGAAAUUUCCACUCCACUCUGUUAUAAGCCUUGCUCAUAUCUAUUUUUAAUGCAACUACACCCUCCUUCCCUUGUCUUUUUCGAUUUAACACAUGCAGAACCUCAUGGGCUACUAUAACAUAAUCUCUAAUUAAGAGACUAGGAACAAAAGCACUGUGUCUGUGAUACAACAUCCCCUAAAAUCAACUUCAACCGAUUCCCAAUGGCCUUACAGCAAACCUUAUCGAUUGCAUUACAUAAGGAUAUAGGUCUUAAAUCUGUAACUCUCUCCAGCACAUGUUUCUUAGGAAUUAGCAUAAUUAAAGUCUCAUUCAAUCAAGGCAAGUGCUCACCAUCAUUUAAACAAGAUAAACAGGCUUUAUUUACUGACUCACCUACAACAUCCCAGUAAUGUUGGUAAAAAUCAGGAUUAAAGUCCAUCCGGGCCCCGUGAUUUAUCAGGGUGCAUACUGAAAAUAGCAGCUUUGAUCUCCUCUCAAGUAUAGGGCAACAUCAAUAAUUCAUUAUGCAUCUCAGUAACUUUUCUUUCCACACAAUUUAACACUGGCGCGCUAUUACUACCAUUUGAUGUAAACAAAUCAGAAAAAUAACCCACAAUUAAACCAUCAAGCCCUGAAUUCCUAUCAACCCACGAACCUUCUGAAUUCUUCAAAACAGUAAAUACAUUCUUCUUUCGUCUGUUAGAAGGUACAUCUUGAAAAUAUUUUGUAUUCAGAUCACCCGCAGAAAGCCACAGCUACUUUGCUCUCUGCCUCCAGAAAACUUCUUGUUGCUUUAGAAGGUCAUUAUAAGCUGCUCUAGCAAUCACAAACAAUUGCUUCGAAAAAACAUCUGUAGCACCACGAUUAUCACGCAUCUGCCGCUUACAAAUACCAAGGUGUCGCCGAACAACAGCUUUCUCCUCAACGCUCCAUGUUUUUAGACCACCCCUAACAUUUUUAAUCCGUUCAGCAACAAGGAUAGUUUCAUUAGGCUGCCAUUUUUCCACAAUCAAUUGUUUAACAUCAUCAUCCCUUAUCCAACUAUUCUCAAACCGAAAAUGGCAUAGCUUGUACACUACCACAGAAACGCCCAACUUAAAAAAUAAAGGAUUAUGAUAAGAAGUUGCAGUUUCUAAAGUAGUAACGACUGCGUUUGGAAAAAAUGUCUUCCAAGUUGCCAAAGAUAAAGCUCUAUCAAGUCGUUGUCGAAUUAAAUCUCCAGACUCUCUUCCAGUUUCUCACAUAAACAAAUCACCAUCAAAAGCAACAUCAGACAAACCCGCCUCCCACACUGCCUCCCAAAAACCUUCUAUCAACCAUCUAGCUCUUGGCACACCACCCACCUUCUCCCUAUUAGACAGCAAAUCAUUAAAGUCUCCCAUCACACACUAGGGUAGUGUGGAUUUGGACUUUAACGAUUUCAGAAAAACCCACGACUCCCCUUCUUCUAGUACUUUCAGGAAAGCCGUAAAACCCUGUGAACCGCCAAGCCCGUAUAACAUAUUCUCUAACAGCUACAUUAAUAUGAUUCUUAGAAUAGCUAAUUAAACUAACAGAACUCUUCUCCUUCCAAAACAGCAACAAACCACCGCACCUCCCCACUGGGUCUACCGCAAAACAUCCUUCAAACCCCAGUAGCGAUUUUAUUCGUCGAACUUUAUUUUUUUGUAUUAAAGUUUCCAUUAAAAAUAACAUUUUGGGCCGCUUAUCAGUUACAAUAUCAUUUAGCUCUCAAACUGAAGCUUGGUUCCCAAGCCCCCGACAAUUCCAGCUUAAACACGUUAUAUGGCUAGGCGGGCCUGAUGUCCAGGACCCGCAGUUUUUUAGCCCCUCUCCAUAUUCCUCAACAGAUUCAAUAGACUCCGAAUCAUUAGCCACAUUCUCCUCAGUACGACGUCGCUUUAAUUCCGUAAUAAUAACACCAACCGCUCCAUCCUUCACUAACACGUUACCUACCUUAACAAACUCAUCCCUUAUCCCUCCAUCGUUUGAAUUUCGAAUCUGGAUUCCCUUUUGCACAGUUUCAGGAACCAAAUCAUCCUCCAUCGGUGCAUGCUAUGAUGAUUUCUCCUCCGACCAGCCACCACCUUCCUCCCUCAACCACCGUGAUCCCACAUUGGUAAUCUUUCUCGUAGGAGCUCUCAGCCAUUCACCAAAGAGAUACUUGUCUUUAGGAAUAUGAAUUUUGCAAUUAAAACACGGUCAGAGUGUCCAAUCACACCACAGAAAAAUCAAAAGGUCGGUAACCUUUCAUAUUUAAAAUUCACCCACACCCAUUCUGACCUGUUUUCCGUAAUUUCAUCUUCCUCUUCAAUGGCUUCCUAACGUCUAUUUCCACCCGCACCCUAUAGUAGGUUUUCCACCCCCCUUUAAAAUUUCUAGCAUCAGACUCUAAAAACUCUCCAGCAUAACCUCCCACAUCCUUCAACACAUGCUCUGAUCGCAACCCAGAAACUAAACCAUACACUUGAACCCAGAAUUUAGCUUUAAAGAAAACCACAGCAUGUGGAUUCUCAUUUUGCUUAAGUGAUUUCAACAACAAAAAAUUUCGCUGAAAACUCCAAGGACCUUCUGCUAAUACACGUUCUACAUCCAGUGCAUGAAAGAAAUUGAAAACAUACCUAUUUCCCUCAAGAUCUUUCCCUGUCAUAACCUUCACAGGUUGCCAAACAGAAGCCAUGGUCUGUUGUAGAAGUUUCCCUACAACACAAAAUCAAUAAUCAUCAAACUCUUCCACCACAUCAGCCGAUCCAACCCCCUAUUCCUUACCCCCUUCAUACUCCUCCAACCCCAAUUUUGCAUAAUAAUCUUCUAAAAGAAUCAAACUCCAUUAGGUUUCCGGAUAUAAGGGAAAAAGAAAAAGAGAAGAGAUACACUAUAUA